Molecule: ribosomal RNA, 1020 nt
Filed under: Paraphyllina ransoni
Lineage: Eukaryota; Metazoa; Cnidaria; Scyphozoa; Coronatae; Paraphyllinidae
Description: eukaryotic LSU rRNA
Rfam family: Eukaryotic large subunit ribosomal RNA
Source: RNAcentral
CCGUUGCUUGCAACGGCGAAUUGUAGUCUCGAGAAGCGUUUUCAAGGCGGAUCGAUCUCACCUAAGUUGCUUGGAACAGCACAUCAGAGAGGGUGACAAUCCCGUACGAGGUGAGGUUGGCCGUCCACGAUGCGCUUUCUAUGAGUCGGGUUGCUUGGGAAUGCAGCCCAAAAUGGGUGGUAAACUCCAUCUAAAGCUAAAUAUUGCCACGAGACCGAUAGCGAACAAGUACCGUGAGGGAAAGAUGAAAAGAACUUUGAAAAGAGAGUUAAAAAGUACGUGAAACCGUUAGAAGGGAAACAGAUGGAGUUAGCAAUGCUCUGACGAGAUUCAGAUGUUCUUUCAAUUGUACAUGCAGUGUGCGGAUCUGAAUGGACCGUCACUGUUUGGCUCGAUCGAUCGAACGUCGCACUCCCCGUCAGUGCGCGUCAACAUCUGUUAGAACUGAGUGACAAGCCCUCAAGAAAGGUAGGUAUGGUUAUCUGUACUGUUAUAGUCUUGAGUGUGCCAACUUGGAACUGACAGAGGCUUAGUUGCGGUACAUGCUCUCGUUCAAGGACAAGGGCUGGUGUUCCGUUCUUGGUUGGCUGUCGACCAUAGUGGACUGCUUGCAGUGCACUUGAACUGCUGUUAGCCAUCGAAUGGGUCUACACACACUAUGUACCAAAGUUGUUGGCGGCAAUAUGGCUUCAUUUGACCCGUCUUGAAACACGGACCAAGGAGUCUAACAUGUGUGCGAGUCUUAGGGUGACAGAAACCCGGAGGCACAAUGAAAGUAAAGGCUGCCUAGCAGCUGAGGUGAGAUCUGCUCGAUACUUUCUGGCAGCGCAUCAUCGACCGACCUAUUCUACUCUUAGAAAGGUUUGAGUAUGAGCACAUUUGUUGGGACCCGAAAGAUGGUGAACUAUGCCUGAGUAGGGUGAAGCCAGAGGAAACUCUGGUGGAAGCUCGUAGCGAUUCUGACGUGCAAAUCGAUCGUCAAACUUGGGUAUAGGGGCGAAAGACUAAUCGAACCACCUA